CUAUCCUACGGGAGGCAGCAGUCGGGAUUAUUGCGCAAUGGAGGAAACUCUGACGCAGUGACGCCGCGUAUAGGAAGAAGGUCUUCGGAUUGUAAACUAUUGUCGUUAGGGAAGAAAAAGGACAGUACCUAAGGAGGAAGCUCCGGCUAACUACGUGCCAGCAGCCGCGGUAAUACGUAGGGAGCAAGCGUUAUCCGGAUUUAUUGGGUGUAAAGGGAGCGUAGACGGCGGUGCAAGUCAGAUGUGAAAGCCCGGGGCUCAACCCCGGGACUGCAUUUGGAACUGUGCUGCUAGAGUGUCGGAGA
RNAcentral lists this ribosomal RNA (305 nucleotides) under uncultured bacterium. RNAcentral describes it as "bacterial SSU rRNA". It matches the Rfam family "Bacterial small subunit ribosomal RNA", at positions 334 to 655 of the family's 1533-position model. The record is from RNAcentral.